Molecule: ribosomal RNA, 496 nt
Filed under: uncultured bacterium
Lineage: Bacteria
Description: partial 16S ribosomal RNA
Rfam family: Bacterial small subunit ribosomal RNA
Source: RNAcentral
GAUGAACGCUGGCGGCGUGCCUAAUACAUGCAAGUCGAGCGAACAGACGAGGAGCUUGCUCCUCUGACGUUAGCGGCGGACGGGUGAGUAACACGUGGAUAACCUACCUAUAAGACUGGGAUAACUUCGGGAAACCGGAGCUAAUACCGGAUAAUAUAUUGAACCGCAUGGUUCAAUAGUGAAAGACGGUUUUGCUGUCACUUAUAGAUGGAUCCGCGCCGCAUUAGCUAGUUGGUAGGUAACGGCUUACCAAGGCAACGAUGCGUAGCCGACCUGAGAGGGUGAUCGGCCACACUGGAACUGAGACACGGUCCAGUCUCCUACGGGAGGCAGCAGUAGGGAAUCUUCCGCAAUGGGCGAAAGCCUGACGGAGCAACGCCGCGUGAGUGAUGAAGGUCUUCGGAUCGUAAAACUCUGUUAUUAGGGAAGAACAAAUGUGUAAGUAACUAUGCACGUCUUGACGGUACCUAAUCAGAAAGCCACGGCUAACUACGUG